RNAcentral lists this long non-coding RNA (314 nucleotides) under Olea europaea (common olive). RNAcentral's name for it is "long non-coding RNA (OEUR_LNC014235)". The record is from RNAcentral. Lineage: Eukaryota; Viridiplantae; Streptophyta; Magnoliopsida; Lamiales; Oleaceae.
CCGGCGAGUGUUUUUUGCCAUGCCGACACGGCAUUUUUGUGUCAUGGCUGCGACGCCAGGGUGCACGACUCUGACGAGGUGGCGUCCCAUCAUGCUCGGGUGUUGGUUUGCGAAGUGUGCGAGCAAGCGCCCGCUAUUGUCACCUGCAAGGCCGACGCGGCGGCUCUCUGCGCCACCUGUGACCGUGACAUACACUGCGCUAAUCCACUUGCCCGCCGCCACGAACGCCUCCCCAUAGUAUCCUUCUACAAGGCAUCACAGGUUAACAACAAUAACGAGAACAAAUACUUCUCUGAAGACGAGGCCGAGGCCGC